UACGGGGGGAGCAAGCGUUGUUCGGAUUUACUGGGCGUAAAGGGCGCGUAGGCGGCGUGACAAGUCACUUGUGAAAUCUCCGGGCUUAACCCGGAACGGUCAAGUGAUACUGUCGUGCUAGAGUACAGAAGGGGCAACUGGAAUUCUCGGUGUAGCGGUGAAAUGCGUAGAUAUCGAGAGGAACACCUGCGGCGAAGGCGGGUUGCUGGGCUGAUACUGAGCUGAGGCGCGAAAGCCAGGGGAGCGAACGGG
This 252-nucleotide ribosomal RNA is filed under the name uncultured bacterium. RNAcentral describes it as "partial 16S ribosomal RNA". It matches the Rfam family "Bacterial small subunit ribosomal RNA", at positions 524 to 776 of the family's 1533-position model. The record is from RNAcentral.